AGCUUCAUAUGUCAGAGUCUUCCUCAUCACAGGGACCUCCUGAAGGACACACAGAGACAACUGUCACAUGUUGAUCAACUCAGACAACUUCAUGAUUAGGAGACAUGUCCCACAGACUGGUUUAACUUGGGACAUGUCCCACAGACUGGUUUUACUGAGACAGGUCCCUCAGACUGGUUUAAUUUAGACAUGUCCCUCAGACUGGUUUAACUGAGACAUGUCCCUGAGACUGGUUUAAUUGAGAUAUGUCCCUCAGACUGGUUUAACUGAGAUAUGCCCCUCGGACUGGUUUAACUGAGACAUGUCCCACAGACUGGUUUAAUUGAGACAUGUCCUACAGACUGGUUUAACUGAGACAUGUCCCACAGACUGGUUUUACUGAGACAUGUCCCACAGACUGGUUUAACUGAGACAUGUCCCUCAGACUGGUUUAACUGAGACAGGUCCCACAGACUGGUUUAACUGAGACAUGUCCCACAGACUGGUUUAACAGAGACAUGUCCCACAGACUGGUUUUACUGAGACAUGUCCCACAGACUGGUUUAACAGAGACAUGUCCCUCAGAGUGGUUUAACUGAGACAUGUCCCACAGACUGGUUUUACUGAGACAGGUCCCUCAGACUGGUUUAACUGAGACAUGUCCCACAGACUGGUUUUACUGAGACAGGUCCCUCAGACUGGUUUAACUGAGACAUGUCCUACAGACUGGUUUAACUGAGAAAUGUCCCACAGACUGGUUUAACUGAGACAGGUCCCACAGACUGGUUUAACUGAGACAUGUCCCACAGACUGGUUUAACAGAGACAUGUCCCUAAGACUGGUUUUACUGAGACAGGUCCCUCAGACUGGUUUAACUGAGACAUGUCCCACAGACUGGUUUAACUUAGACAUGUCCCUAAGACUGGUUUUACUGAGACAUGUCCCACAGACUGGUUUUACUGAGACAGGUCCCUAAGACUGGUUUAACAGAGAUAUGUCCCACAGACUGGUUUAACUGAGAAAUGUCCCUAAGACUGGUUUAACAGAGACAUGUCCCUCAGACUGGUUUAACUGAGACAUGUCCCACAGACUGGUUUAACUUAGACAUGUCCCUAAGACUGGUUUUACUGAGACAUGUCCCACAGACUGGUUUAACUUAGACAUGUCCCUAAGACUGGUUUAACUGAGACAUGUCCCACAGACUGGUUUAACUGAGAAAUGUCCCUAAGACUGGUUUAACAGAGACAUGUCCCUCAGACUGGUUUUACUGAGACAGGUCCCUCAGACUGGUUUAACUGAGACAUGUCCCACAGACUGGUUUAACUUAGACAUGUCCCUAAGACUGGUUUUACUGAGACAGGUCCCUCAGACUGGUUUAACUGAGACAGGUCCCUAAGACUGGUUUAACAGAGAUAUGUCCCACAGACUGGUUUAACUGAGAAAUGUCCCUAAGACUGGUUUAACAGAGACAUGUCCCUCAGACUGGUUUAACUGAGACAUGUCCCUAAGACUGGUUUUACUGAGACAGGUCCUUCAGACUGGUUUAACUGAGACAUGUCCUUCAGACUGGUUUAACUGAGACAUGUCCCUAAGACUGGUUUUACUGAGACAGGUCCUUCAGACUGGUUUAACUGAGACAUGUCCCACAGACUGGUUUAACUUAGACAUGUCCCUAAGACUGGUUUUACUGAGACAGGUCCCUCAGACUGGUUUAACUGAGACAGGUCCCUAAGACUGGUUUAACAGAGAUAUGUCCCACAGACUGGUUUAACUGAGAAAUGUCCCUAAGACUGGUUUAACAGAGACAUGUCCCUCAGACUGGUUUAACUGAGACAUGUCCCUAAGACUGGUUUUACUGAGACAGGUCCUUCAGACUGGUUUAACUGAGACAUGUCCCUCAGGGUGGUUUAACUGAGACAGGUCUCUCAGACUGGUUUAACUGAGACAUGUCCCUCAGACCGAUUUAACUGAGACAUGUCCCUGAGAGUGGUUUAACUAAGACAUGUCCCUCAUAUUGGUUUAACAGAGACAUGUCCCACAGACUGGUUUUACUGAGACAUGUCCCACAGACUGGUUUACUAGACAUGUCCCUCAGAGUGGUUUUACUGAGACAUGUCCCACAGGCUGGUUUUACAGAGACAAGUAAGUGGGAAAGGUCUAUGUGGGACAGGUUUAAGUGGAACAGGUUUAAGUGGGACAGGUCUAUGUGGGACAGGUUUAGGUGGGACAGGUUUAAGUGGAACAGGUUUAAGUGGAACAGGUUUAAGUGGGACAGGUUUAAGUGGAACAGGAUUAAGUAGAACAGGUUUAAGUGGAACAGGUUCAAGUAGGACAGGUCUAUGUGGGACAGGUUUAAGUGGGACAGGAUUAAGUGGAACAGAUUUAAGUGGGACAGGUUUAAGCAGAACAGGUUAAAGUGGAACAGGUUUAAGUAGAACAGGUUUAAGUGGAACAGGUUUAAGUGGAACAGGUUAAAGUGGGACAGGUUUAAGUGGGACAGGUUUAAGUGGGACAGGUUUAGGUGGGACAGGUUUAAGUGGAACAGGUUUAAGUAGAACAGGUUUAAGUGGAACAGGUUCAAGUAGAACAGGUUUAAGUAGAACAGCUUCAAGUAGGACAGGUCUAUGUGGGACAGGUUUGAGUGGGACAGGUUUAAGUGGAACAGAUUUAAGUGGGACAGGUUCAAGUAGAACAGGUUUAGUGGAACAGGUUCAAGUAGGACAGAUUUAAGUGGGACAGGUUUAAGUGGGACAGGAUUAAGUGGGACAGGUUUAGGUGGGACAGGUUUAAGUGGAACAGGUUUAAGUAGAACAGGUUUAAGUGGAACAGGUUCAAGUAGAACAGGUUUAAGUAGAACAGCUUCAAGUAGAACAGC
Epinephelus fuscoguttatus (brown-marbled grouper) is the source of this 2854-nucleotide long non-coding RNA. RefSeq lists it as uncharacterized. NCBI's taxonomy places the organism in Eukaryota, Metazoa, Chordata, Actinopteri, Perciformes, Serranidae. The record is from RefSeq and is a predicted model, not a curated record. The transcript has 3 exons.